GAUGAACGCUGGCGGCGUGCUUAACACAUGCAAGUCGAACGGGAAGUGGUGUUUCCAGUGGCGAACGGGUGAGUAACGCGUAAGAACCUGCCCUUGGGAGGGGAACAACAACUGGAAACGGUUGCUAAUACCCCGUAGGCGGAGGAGCAAAAGGAGAAAUCCGCCCAAGGAGGGGCUCGCGUCUGAUUAGCUAGUUGGUGAGGUAAUAGCUUACCAAGGCGAUGAUCAGUAGCUGGUCCGAGAGGAUGAUCCGCCACACUGGGACUGAGACACGGCCCAGACUCCUGCGGGAAGCAGCAGUGGGGAAUUUUCCGCAAUGGGCGAAAGCCUGACGGAGCAAUGCCGCGUGGAGGUGGAAGGCCUACGGGUCGUCAACUUCUUUUCUCGGAGAAGAAACAAUGACGGUAUCUGAGGAAUAAGCAUCGGCUAACUCUGUG
RNAcentral lists this ribosomal RNA (437 nucleotides) under uncultured bacterium. Its description in RNAcentral is "partial 16S ribosomal RNA". It matches the Rfam family "Bacterial small subunit ribosomal RNA", at positions 28 to 507 of the family's 1533-position model. The record is from RNAcentral.